Molecule: non-coding RNA, 29 nt
Filed under: Rattus norvegicus (Norway rat)
Lineage: Eukaryota; Metazoa; Chordata; Mammalia; Rodentia; Muridae
Source: RNAcentral
UGUCUCCUAACGUUCCAGUCCCAGUCAGA